GACGAACGCUGGCGGCGUGCUUAACACAUGCAAGUCGAACGGAAAGGCCCUGCUUUUUUGGCGUUCUCGAUGGGCGAACAGGUGAGUAACACGUGAGUAACCUGCUCUUGACUUUGGGGUAACUUCAUGUAACUGGGGCUAAUACCGGAUAGGAGCUCCUGCUGCAGGGUGGGGGUUGGAAAGUUGCGGCGGUUGGGGAUGGUCUGGGGGCUUAUCAGCUUGUUGGUGUGGUAGUGGCUUACCAAGGCUUUGACGGGUAGCCGGCAUGAGAGGGUGACCGGGCACAUUGCGACUGAGAGACGGCCCAGACGCCAACGGGAGGCAGCGGUGGGGAAUAUUGCACAAUGGGGGGAAGCGUGAUGCGGCAACGCCGCGUGCGGAAUGACGGGUUUCGGGUUGUAAACCGCUUUCGCCUGUGACGAAGCGUGAGUGACGGUAAUGGGUAAGGAAGCGACGGCUAACUACGUG
Molecule: ribosomal RNA, 468 nt
Filed under: uncultured bacterium
Lineage: Bacteria
Description: partial 16S ribosomal RNA
Rfam family: Bacterial small subunit ribosomal RNA
Source: RNAcentral